This 228-nucleotide unclassified non-coding RNA is filed under the name uncultured fungus. RNAcentral's name for it is "sequence contains ITS1, 5.8S rRNA gene". The stretch from base 180 to 228 matches the Rfam family "5.8S ribosomal RNA", at positions 1 to 49 of the family's 154-position model. Lineage: Eukaryota; Fungi. The record is from RNAcentral.
UCUCCGUUGGUGAACCAGCGGAGGGAUCAUUACUGAGUGGGGGUUUAACCGCCCGACCUCCAACCCUUUGUGAAUCGUACUCGUUGCUUCGGGGGCGACCCUGCCGUCCGCGGCGCGGCGCCCCCGGGGGAAAUCAAACACUGCAUUCUCUGCGUCGGAGUAUUAGUAAAUCUAAUCAAAACUUUCAACAACGGAUCUCUUGGUUCUGGCAUCGAUGAAGAACGCAGC